GUUGUAUAGUCAAGUAAUUAAGUGCAUGUGGUGGAUGCCUUGGCAGUCAG
This 50-nucleotide ribosomal RNA is filed under the name Pseudomonas aeruginosa. Its description in RNAcentral is "partial 23S ribosomal RNA". Lineage: Bacteria; Pseudomonadati; Pseudomonadota; Gammaproteobacteria; Pseudomonadales; Pseudomonadaceae. The record is from RNAcentral. RNAcentral also lists the same sequence under 1 other name.